Molecule: ribosomal RNA, 890 nt
Filed under: Hysteropatella sp.
Lineage: Eukaryota; Fungi; Ascomycota; Dothideomycetes; Patellariales
Description: partial large subunit ribosomal RNA
Rfam family: Eukaryotic large subunit ribosomal RNA
Source: RNAcentral
CGGCGAGUGAAGCGGCAACAGCUCAGAUUUGAAAUCUGGUCCUUGGGCCCGAAUUGUAAUCUGCAGAGGAUGCUCUUGAGCCGGUGCGGUCCAAGUCCCUUGGAAAAGGGCGUCAUAGAGGGUGAGAAUCCCGUCGUGGCCGGCGCCGUGCUCUCUGUAGAGCUCCUUCGACGAGUCGAGUUGUUUGGGAAUGCAGCUCUAAAUGGGAGGUAAAUUCCUUCUAAAGCUAAAUAUUUGCUAGAGACCGAUAGCGCACAAGUAGAGUGAUCGAAAGAUGAAAAGCACUUUGGAAAGAGAGUCAAACAGCACGUGAAAUUGUUGAAAGGGAAGCGCUUGCAACCAGACUUGGUCUCGGAUGCUCCGCCGGUCUCUUGACCGGUUUACUCUUCCGUGGGCAGGCCAGCGUCGGUUUGGGCGGUCGCAUACGUGCGGUGGGAAUGUGGCCCCUCGGGGUGUUAUAGCCCGCCGUGUCUGCGGCCCGCCUGGACCGAGGUUUCGCGCUCCGGCUCGGACGCUGGCGUAAUGGUUGUAAGCGGCCCGUCUUGAAACACGGACCAAGGAGUCUAACGUCUACGCGAGUGUUUGGGUGUAAAGCCCAGGCGCGCAAUGAAAGUGAACGGAGGUAGGAACCGCAAGGUGCACUAUCGACCGAUCUUGAUGUCUUCGGAUGGAUUUGAGUAAGAGCGUAGCUGUUGGGACCCGAAAGAUGGUGAACUAUGCCUGGCUAGGGUGAAGCCAGAGGAAACUCUGGUGGAGGCUCGCAGCGGUUCUGACGUGCAAAUCGAUCGUCAAAUUUGGGCAUAGGGGCGAAAGACUAAUCGAACCAUUACUAGAAAGGCACACUGGUACACCAGUAUCUUUUUCAGUUGCUAGGUGGUUCAGAGGCGGCG